GGGUCGUGAUUUGUGCAAA
Molecule: microRNA, 19 nt
Filed under: Tribolium castaneum (red flour beetle)
Lineage: Eukaryota; Metazoa; Arthropoda; Insecta; Coleoptera; Tenebrionidae
Description: tca-miR-92c-5p
Gene: tca-miR-92c-5p
Source: miRBase by way of RNAcentral